Molecule: ribosomal RNA, 427 nt
Filed under: uncultured bacterium
Lineage: Bacteria
Description: bacterial SSU rRNA
Rfam family: Bacterial small subunit ribosomal RNA
Source: RNAcentral
UGGGGAAUAUUGGACAAUGGGCGAAAGCCUGAUCCAGCCAUGCCGCGUGCAGGAUGAAGGCCUUCGGGUUGUAAACUGCUUUUGUACGGAACGAAAAGACUCCUUCUAAUAAAGGGGGUCCAUGACGGUACCGUAAGAAUAAGCACCGGCUAACUACGUGCCAGCAGCCGCGGUAAUACGUAGGGUGCGAGCGUUAAUCGGAAUUACUGGGCGUAAAGCGUGCGCAGGCGGUUAUAUAAGACAGUUGUGAAAUCCCCGGGCUCAACCUGGGAACUGCAUCUGUGACUGUAUAGCUAGAGUACGGUAGAGGGGGAUGGAAUUCCGCGUGUAGCAGUGAAAUGCGUAGAUAUGCGGAGGAACACCGAUGGCGAAGGCAAUCCCCUGGACCUGUACUGACGCUCAUGCACGAAAGCGUGGGGAGCAAACA